AAGUCGUAACAAGGUUUCCGUAGGUGAACCUGCGGAAGGAUCAUUAAAGAGUUAGGGUCUCUCAGGCCCGACCUCCCAACCCUUUGUUUACUGAACCAUUGUUGCUUCGGUGGGUCCGUCUCACGACCGCCGGGGGAGAAAUCCCCCCCCCCUGGCCCGCACCCGCCGAUAGCCCAACUCUUAAAAUCCUUUAUGAAUCGUGUCUUAUGUCUAAAUCAUGAUAACAAAUCAAAUUAAAACUUUCAACAACGGAUCUCUUGGUUCUG
This 266-nucleotide unclassified non-coding RNA is filed under the name Cladophialophora sp. Its description in RNAcentral is "partial internal transcribed spacer region". The stretch from base 1 to 46 matches the Rfam family "Eukaryotic small subunit ribosomal RNA", at positions 1786 to 1831 of the family's 1831-position model. The record is from RNAcentral. Lineage: Eukaryota; Fungi; Ascomycota; Eurotiomycetes; Chaetothyriales; Herpotrichiellaceae.